Rosa rugosa (rugosa rose) is the source of this 1732-nucleotide long non-coding RNA. RefSeq lists it as uncharacterized. The transcript is spliced from 7 exons. Lineage: Eukaryota; Viridiplantae; Streptophyta; Magnoliopsida; Rosales; Rosaceae. The record is from RefSeq and is a predicted model, not a curated record.
GACCCCUCCACUGUGAGGGUGAAAAGGUGUGGAGUCUCCUUGAUGUAUGCCCAAGAUUUUGAAAAAUUAGUUAGAGGCAUUGAUGAAGAUGAUGUAGUUAUGGAACCAAAACAAGUAGUUGAAGAAGAAGAUAUCAUCAUCAAAACUAAGAGACGACGCGACCAAUCUGAACCCGGUGGAAGCAGAACUGCAAUCUUGAAAGAAGAAGAUGACGGCGAACUACCUCCCCAGAGUAGUAAAAGGAAAAUCAACAUCAUGUGAAAUAUUCACGUUCAUAAUGCCACUUUAUGAGUCACAAGCUACAGCCUUGAGAUCGUUGGAAGGAAUCAAACCCGACUCACUGGGAAGGUGUUUGACGUAACACCUGAGAUAACGGAGUAAAGGAGAAAUAAGAUUGAUGAGGCCAGCUGUAAAGUCUGACUCUGGUUCUGCUGCAACUGUGACAAGGGUGCAAACUUAAUGCCAUUGAAGUACACUGGGAUCAAAUUUCCAAGCACCAAACAAUCCUGGUUUAACACAAGUAUGAACCUCAAGGAAUGUGAGAUGUUGUGUGUGAAGAAGCGCUCCUGGACAGCUUAUGCAAAUUCCAAUAUCAGAGAAGGAGGAAGUGGGUGCUUGCUGUGGUUCAGUGAUCUAAUUGGCAUAAGAAAUCUCACUGAAAAUGAGCAAGAUAUCUAUGUUAGCUGUAUCAGAGCAAGCAGGAAAACUGAGCCGCAGCCACAAGGAAAAUCUGGAAUUACUUGACUUGACUACUGUUGUUAAUGAAACCUGUAACUUCUCAAACGACAACAAACUAGGAGAAGGUGGCUUGGGAUCUGUCUUUAAGGUGUAUGUUGAAAGAUGGAUGAGAAAUAGCAGUGGAAAGGCUUGCAAGAGACUCUAUGUAAGGAAUUAAUGAGUUCAAAAAUGAGGCUGUACACAUAUUGCCAAACUUCAGCACAAGAAUCUAGUGAAGCUUCUAGGGUGCUGCUUUCAACAAGAUGAAAUGAUGCUGAUGUACAAAUGCAUGCCAGACAAAAGCUUGGACUUCUUUAUUUUCAGUUUUAUCACCGAGGAAGUUUAUAUUUGGUUUUAUUGGUCCAUAUGGUUACAUGUCCCCAGAAUACACAAUUGAUGGUUUCUACUCGAUAAAAUCUGAUGUCUACAACUAUGGAGUUUUGGUGCUAGAGAUAGUGAGUGGGAAGAGAAACUGAGGAUUCUCACAUCCAUGCCACAAUCUCAACCUUUUUGGACAUGUGAGCUGUUCAUAGAAGGCAGGUCCAUUGAACUUCUUGAUCCAUUGGUAGAGGACACCAGCACUCUACAUGAAGUUGUGAGAUCGAUUCAUGUAGGGGUCUUUUAUGCAUGUGUGCAACAAAAUCCACAAGAUAGGCCAAGUAUGCCAGCUGCUGUUCUAAUAUUGAGUGGUGAAGGUGCAUUGCCUCAACCUCAGAAGCCUGGUUUUUUUAGUGAAAGGAAUCUGACAGAACUUGAAGAUUCUACAGAUGAGGCUACAGAAUGUUCAGCUAAUGAACUCACUGUUACACCAGUGGGGGCUCGAUGAAUGUUGAGUCUCAUGUUGAGUAUUCUCUGCCCUUUAUCCGCUUGCUUUCCUCUGAUAUGAGUUGGGUUCAUUUGAAUGAUGAGUUACAAACACAAACUUUUGAUAUCACUUUAGGCCUAGUUAAUUAUCUUCUCAUUGGUACCAAGUUGAGUCUGAACUAACCACUGGGUUGAACCAGCCAACUCUUAU